Molecule: ribosomal RNA, 222 nt
Filed under: uncultured bacterium
Lineage: Bacteria
Description: partial 16S ribosomal RNA
Rfam family: Bacterial small subunit ribosomal RNA
Source: RNAcentral
UACGUAGGGUGCAAGCGUUGUCCGGAAUUAUUGGGCGUAAAGAGCUCGUAGGCGGUUUGUCGCGUCUGCUGUGAAAACUCAGGGCUUAACCCUGAGCCUGCAGUGGGUACGGGCAGACUAGAGUGUGGUAGGGGAGAUCGGAAUUCCUGGUGUAGCGGUGGAAUGCGCAGGAUAUCAGGAGGGAACACCGGUGGCGAAGGCGGAUCUCUGGGCCAGUAACUG